Molecule: long non-coding RNA, 314 nt
Filed under: Zostera marina
Lineage: Eukaryota; Viridiplantae; Streptophyta; Magnoliopsida; Alismatales; Zosteraceae
Description: long non-coding RNA (ZMAR_LNC003210)
Source: RNAcentral
GAGCCGGGGAUCGAUCCUCUCACAGUGACUGUUUUCCCUGGAUGUCGACCUUGGGUAAGUCGAGCUUGCAAAAGUCGAGCCUGGGGUUGAUCCUCUUCUGACGCUCGAGUUGGAACCUCCCGGGUGAUGAAGUACGAAAUCUGCUACCAGUAGGCUCGCGGGGUUGCGAGGAGGGCCGGAGGCUUUGGAGUCCAUGACGCGCGCUCUACGUCAAAUACCUGCACAAGUGGAGGGGAGUCGGUGACUCGGGCUCCUUGGUUCUCUGGUAUGGAGUGUUGUGAGUCAAGGUGAUAUGAGAAUGGAGGACCCCCAAG